GGCAGUUCUCGGGUGACACAUCCCAGAAUUGGGCUCCCUCCUCUCUGGUUCCGGGUGUGAAACCAGAGAACCACA
Myotis lucifugus (little brown bat) is the source of this 75-nucleotide non-coding RNA. Lineage: Eukaryota; Metazoa; Chordata; Mammalia; Chiroptera; Vespertilionidae. The record is from Rfam.